AACACCUCAAACCUCUUGGUUUUUUCCAAGAGUUUUGGACUUGAGCAAACCCAACACCUUUUCUCACGAUUUAGUGGCGGGUUGCUUGAAAUGCAGGUGCAGCUGGACAUUCUCCUGAGCUAAAAGCAUAUCUAUUUAGUCCCGUCAAACGGAUUAUUACUUUUGCUGCAGCUAACAUAAAGGGAGUUUUGACCGUAUUGGCUGACUGAUGCAGGAUUUCACAGAGUCGGAAACGAUUCUGUCAA
Molecule: unclassified non-coding RNA, 245 nt
Filed under: uncultured Mortierella
Lineage: Eukaryota; Fungi; Mortierellomycota; Mortierellomycetes; Mortierellales; Mortierellaceae
Description: sequence contains ITS2
Source: RNAcentral